Molecule: ribosomal RNA, 484 nt
Filed under: uncultured bacterium
Lineage: Bacteria
Description: partial 16S ribosomal RNA
Rfam family: Bacterial small subunit ribosomal RNA
Source: RNAcentral
AGUGAACGCUGGCGGCGUGCUUAACACAUGCAAGUCGAACGAGAACGGAUUAUAGCUUGCUAUAAUUGUCAGCUAAGUGGCGCACGGGUGAGUAAUGUAUAGGUAAUAUGCCUCUUACUAAGGGAUAACAAAUGGAAACGUUUGCUAAUACCUUAUACUCCUUAUUAACAGAAGUUAAUAAGGGAAAGAUUUAUUGUUAAGAGAUUAGCCUGUAUUGUAUCAGUUAGUUGGUGGGGUAAUGGCUUACCAAGACUAUGACACAUAACUGGUUUGAGAGGAUGAUCAGUCACACGGGAACUAAGACACGGUCCAUACUCCUACAGGAGGCAGCAGUGGGAAAUAUUGCACAAUGGACGAAAGUCUGAUGCAGCAACGCCGCGUGGAGGAUGACACAUUUCGGUGCGUAAACUCCUUUUAUAUGAGAAGAUAAUGACGGUAUUAUAUGAAUAAGCACCGGCUAACUCCGUGCCAGCAGCCGCCGUAA